Molecule: ribosomal RNA, 160 nt
Filed under: Brassica deflexa
Lineage: Eukaryota; Viridiplantae; Streptophyta; Magnoliopsida; Brassicales; Brassicaceae
Also listed under: 1 other name
Description: 5.8S ribosomal RNA
Rfam family: 5.8S ribosomal RNA
About the family: 5.8S ribosomal RNA (5.8S rRNA) is a component of the large subunit of the eukaryotic ribosome.
Source: RNAcentral
AACGACUCUCGGCAACGGAUAUCUCGGCUCUCGCAUCGAUGAAGAACGUAGCGAAAUGCGAUACUUGGUGUGAAUUGCAGAAUCCCGUGAACCAUCGAGUCUUUGAACGCAAGUUGCGCCCCAAGCCUUUUGGCCGAGGCACGUCUGCCUGGGUGUCACA